This 484-nucleotide ribosomal RNA is filed under the name uncultured bacterium. RNAcentral describes it as "SSU rRNA". It matches the Rfam family "Bacterial small subunit ribosomal RNA", at positions 26 to 523 of the family's 1533-position model. The record is from RNAcentral.
AGAAUCAACGCUGGCGGCGUGCCUAACACAUGCAAGUCGAACGAGAAAGUGGAGCAAUCCAUGAGUAAAGUGGCGACCGGGUGAGUAACACGUGACCAAUCUACCCUUGAGUGGGGGAUAACCUCGGGAAACCGGGGCUAAUACCGCAUAACAUCCUCGGGACGGAAGUACUGGGGAUCAAAGGAGCAAUUCGCUUAAGGAGGAGGUCGCGGCUGAUUAGCUAGUUGGCGGGGUAAUGGCCCACCAAGGCAAAGAUCGGUAGCCGGCCUGAGAGGGCGCACGGCCACACUGGAACUGAAACACGGUCCAGACUCCUACGGGAGGCAGCAGUGGGGAAUAUUGGACAAUGGGCGAAAGCCUGAUCCAGCAACGCCGCGUGAGGGAUGACGGCCUUCGGUUGUAAACCUCUUUCAGCGCAGACGAAGCGAAAGUGACGGUAUGCGUAGAAGAAGCACCGGCAACUACGCGCCAGCAGCCGCGGUAA